Molecule: long non-coding RNA, 411 nt
Organism: Orcinus orca (killer whale)
Lineage: Eukaryota; Metazoa; Chordata; Mammalia; Artiodactyla; Delphinidae
Exons: 3
Source: RefSeq, a predicted model, not a curated record
GAAAAGCCAUGGCCACCAAGUCUGUCACAUCAACGUAACCUGAGGUCGCUCCUCCUGGGGUGAGCUUACAUUUCUGAUGAAAUAGCCAACGUUACUGCCUACAGAGACUGGCUUAUUUAUCAUAGACAAAUGUUAUCAUUUCAAUAUCCAAAGAUGCCUUCUCUGAAAUAUCAGCGUUUCCCUGUACUGAGGCAUCCUUCCACUGUGGUAUAUCCAGGCCUUUGCUGUGCUUACAAGUUUCCAGGGAUGCCGUUCGGCUUUUGUGUUAUGUUGCUGUGAAAUCUGUCUGAGACUAAAGAAAGUAAAUGUCAACAGACACUGAAUACCUAUUGCUACGGUGCUGAUGGCAACUAACUUGAACAGUCGCUCUGAGUUUACUCAGAACCCACAUCACAGGUUUUAAAUAUAUAA